CACGUAGGGCGCAAGCGUUGUCCGGAAUUAUUGGGCGUAAAGAGCUCGUAGGCGGUCUGUUGCGUCCGCUGUGAAAACUCGGGGCUUAACCCCGAGCCUGCAGUGGAUACGGGCAGACUAGAGGUAGGUAGGGGAGAAUGGAAUUCCCGGUGUAGCGGUGAAAUGCGCAGAUAUCAGGAAGAACACCAACGGCGAAGGCAGCUCGCUGGGACGGAACUGACGCUAAGGCGCGAAAGCGUGGGGAGCAAACAGG
RNAcentral lists this ribosomal RNA (253 nucleotides) under uncultured bacterium. RNAcentral describes it as "partial 16S ribosomal RNA". It matches the Rfam family "Bacterial small subunit ribosomal RNA", at positions 524 to 776 of the family's 1533-position model. The record is from RNAcentral.